RNAcentral lists this ribosomal RNA (440 nucleotides) under uncultured bacterium. RNAcentral's name for it is "partial 16S ribosomal RNA". It matches the Rfam family "Bacterial small subunit ribosomal RNA", at positions 338 to 795 of the family's 1533-position model. The record is from RNAcentral.
CCUACGGGAGGCAGCAGUGGGGAAUAUUGCACAAUGGGGGAAACCCUGAUGCAGCGACGCCGCGUGAGUGAAGAAGUAAUUCGUUAUGUAAAGCUCUAUCAGCAGGGAAGAAAAUGACGGUACCUGAGUAAGAAGCCCCGGCUAACUACGUGCCAGCAGCCGCGGUAAUACGUAGGGGGCAAGCGUUAUCCGGAUUUACUGGGUGGAAAGGGAGCGUACACGGCAGUGCAAGUCUGGAGUGAAAGGCGGGGGCUCAACCCCCGGACUGCUCUGGAAACUGUACGGCUGGAGUGCAGGAGAGGUAAGUGGAAUUCCUAGUGUAGCGGUGAAAUGCGUAGAUAUUAGGAGGAACACCAGUGGCGAAGGCGGCUUACUGGACUGUAACUGACGUUGAGGCUCGAAAGCGUGGGGAGCAAACAGGAUUAGAUACCCUUGUAGUC